AGUACCAGCCAGUUGGACAAGCAGGGGUUGUAGGAUUGUCUGCCAGCUCCUCAUAACUCGUAGUAAUGUGUAUUUGUGGGAAUUGUUCAACAGUGCCUACAGAGCCCCAGGAUGCCUGCUGCAGGGAGAUACCACGGGUAACAAGAAGACUACAGCAGCUUCACAACCAGCUAUCAUGCAUGAUGAAUCAUCCUGGCUUCAAACCUGUAUGUUUGAAUGUGUGCUCACUACAGCAUGCAUUCAACAUUUAUAGAGCACACUAUGGGCCUUUACAUCUGAAGGGGAAUAGAAAUAGAAAGUAUUUUUUAUGCAUAUAAAUUGUCAAUUAUUAUUGUAAUACAAAUAGGACUAAGGAAGAAAAUACAAUUACUGUUUCCUCUAUAUUACCUGCUUACUGUUUCAUAGUCAUCACUUAUGUUACAUAAACACAAAACAGUUUAUAUAGAUUGAACAACUUUUAUUGUCAUGAAGAUUGUUAUAGCAAAUACCACACAACUUUUGAAACACAUUUAUUCAAUGUACCACCUUGUGCAGCAGUCCUGAAUUUUUUUUAAAUAGGAAAAAAAGAUGGACACACUAUAAAUGGGUGUCACCGUUUACUGUUGACUAAAUAUCAUGUACACUUUGUUAAGCCAUUGAAGAUACUUGGCCUACAGAAGUUUUGUAAACUGAUGUUAGGCCCUUUGUGGCCGGAGAUUCCGAGUGGUACUGCCCACCGGCGUGGUGCUAUGGAUACGGACAGAAUUCCCUGACACUCAAGGAAGGUACAUGUGUUUCAGACCUGUCUUUGAUUGAACCUCGACAUGUAGCUGACUAUCACUUCCUGCUUCUCUGGUCUUUUAAACUGGGCAGAUGUGGGAUCUUCAGCACAUCAUCCAUAUCUGGGGCAGGGUCAUGGUCCUCUCACAGAUGAGGACCAGCAGUUCAUCCAUGGAUACUUUGUCAAAUUGUCCAAUAACCCAACAGCCCUGUUGCAGUGUGAUUUUUAGCAUUUAUAUUGUUUUCAUUAUAAGGUUUAUUUAUUAUGAAAGACAACAAUCACUGUAUGUUAUUUAUCAAUUACUCUAUAUGUUAUUUAUUUUUCACUUGUUGUAUAAUGGCUACUUGCACAUUUUGUGAUUUGUGACUUUAAAUAGCAGCUCACCAACUGAUGUUGUUGCUGGGGACACCCAGCGUUUUCACUGAAGUGCAGGGCUGCCAGGUAGUCUUGGGAGGAAAGAUAAUACUUAGAUGGUGGAGAGCACAUGUAAAUAUCCACCGUACACAUUCCCUUAAGUAUUAAGGAUUGACAGAUUGUCGUAAAGCACAUUUUUCCCUAGCUAAACAUGCAAACAUCACUAACCCUUAGCUGUCUGAGUGGAACACAACUGUAACUUAACUUGUAGAUUGACUACAUGUGGGAUGGGGAUGGUAUGACCUCCGUGAUUCAAGUAAUAAACUUUUUGUGAAUCUCUAUAAAAUCAACAGCAAGAAACAGGGGGGGCAUCACCACUCAUUCU
This is a long non-coding RNA of Thunnus maccoyii (southern bluefin tuna), 1499 nucleotides long. RefSeq lists it as uncharacterized. The record is from RefSeq and is a predicted model, not a curated record. NCBI's taxonomy places the organism in Eukaryota, Metazoa, Chordata, Actinopteri, Scombriformes, Scombridae. The transcript is spliced from 3 exons.